GUAGGUUCAAUUCCUAU
This 17-nucleotide transfer RNA is filed under the name Nyctimantis galeata. RNAcentral describes it as "partial tRNA-Gln". Lineage: Eukaryota; Metazoa; Chordata; Amphibia; Anura; Hylidae. The record is from RNAcentral.